RNAcentral lists this non-coding RNA (72 nucleotides) under Cutibacterium acnes. Lineage: Bacteria; Bacillati; Actinomycetota; Actinomycetes; Propionibacteriales; Propionibacteriaceae. The record is from RNAcentral.
GGGAAGUCGGUGAGAAUCCGACGCUGACCCGCAACCGUGACCAUGCCUGUGUGGUGUGGGAGUCGGAGUACC